Molecule: non-coding RNA, 201 nt
Organism: Chlorocebus sabaeus (green monkey)
Lineage: Eukaryota; Metazoa; Chordata; Mammalia; Primates; Cercopithecidae
Source: RefSeq, a predicted model, not a curated record
ACAUCCUGGUUCUAGGCAGUCUCCUCUUCCCCAUCACACCUCACACGUCUGCUGUGUCUGCCGCUCAGGUCACUCCUAAACCAUAGGGUCCCACAACCCAGUCUCCCUGCCUCCGCCCCAGCCAGAGGGACCCUCCCUGCAGAGGGCACCGUCCCAGAGCUACUCUAAAGGUAGGGCCAAGAUUCCGUGUUACCUGUGCUG